GAUGAAGAACGUAGCAAAUGCGAUAAGUAGUGUGAAUUGCAGAAUUCAGUGAAUCAUCGAAUCUUUGAACGCACAUUGCGCCCCUUGGUAUCCCGAGGGGCAUGCCUGUUCGAGCGUCAUUUCACCACUCAAGCCUGGCUUGGUGUUGGGCGACGUCCCCUUUGGGGACGCGCCUCGAAACGCUCGGCGGCGUGGCACCGGCUUUAAGCGUAGCAGAAUCUUUCGCUUUGGAAGUCGGGGCCCCGUCUGCCGGAAGACCUACUCGCAAGGUUGACCUCGGAUCAGGCAGGGAUACCCGCUGAACUUAAGCAUAUCAAUAAGCGGAGGA
This 328-nucleotide unclassified non-coding RNA is filed under the name soil metagenome. RNAcentral's name for it is "partial contains 5.8S ribosomal RNA, internal transcribed spacer 2, and large subunit ribosomal RNA". The stretch from base 1 to 119 matches the Rfam family "5.8S ribosomal RNA", at positions 35 to 154 of the family's 154-position model. The record is from RNAcentral.